CUAUAAAAAAAAAUAUUAGCUCAUCUUCUUCUCCAAGCUGUCCCAUGCUCUCUCUCUCUCUUUCUCUCACUUUCUCUCAUCUUCCACCAUUAAUACUCACCUCCAAGCUUUAACCACUUGAUUUUCCUCCAUAAUUUCUUUAGGAAAUCAAGAGUAAACCCUAAAUUAAGCCCUAAAUUGUAGAAAGCACACAAGAAUUUCAAGGAUUUUGGAAGAUUGGUGAAGAGGAGGUGUUGACCAAAUCAAGAAGGGGAAUUCAGUCAGAAAGGGAAAACAAGAAGGAAAGUCAAAGUUGGUUGGAUUAGAAGCAAAUUGAAGGUUGAUUGGAGUUGUUUAAGUCUUGUACACAAAGGUUCAAGUGAUAAGGUUUAGUAAUUCUUAAGACAGAAAGUUGUGGCCUGAUCUGCAGGAGUGGUUACUGUCACCUUUACUCAUCUUUUGGUAGGGCUCACUGGCCCACAAUUAUGCAUGACUAUAUGUUGUAAUUAAACAUAAGUUUGUAAAUUAAAUUUUGAGUUGUAUAAAAUUAUAUACAUCAUGUACAUCUUGUAAAUAAUGAAAUGAAAGAAAUUUAU
Molecule: long non-coding RNA, 575 nt
Organism: Hevea brasiliensis (rubber tree)
Lineage: Eukaryota; Viridiplantae; Streptophyta; Magnoliopsida; Malpighiales; Euphorbiaceae
Exons: 3
Source: RefSeq, a predicted model, not a curated record